GUAAAGAGCUCGUAGGCGGUUUGUCGCGUCUGCCGUGAAAGUCCGGGGCUCAACUCCGGAUCUGCGGUGGGUACGGGCAGACUAGAGUGAUGUAGGGGAGACUGGAAUUCCUGGUGUAGCGGUGAAAUGCGCAGAUAUCAGGAGGAACACCGAUGGCGAAGGCAGGUCUCUGGGCAUUAACUGACGCUGAGGAGCGAAAGCAUGGGGAGCGAACAGGAUUAGAUACCCUGGUAGUCCAUGCCGUAAACGUUGGGCACUAGGUGUGGGGGACAUUCCACGUUUUCCGCGCCGUAGCUAACGCAUUAAGUGCCCCGCCUGGGGAGUACGGCCGCAAGGCUAAAACUCAAAGGAAUUGACGGGGGCCCGCACAAGCGGCGGAGCAUGCGGAUUAAUUCGAUGCACCGCGAAGAACCUUACCAAGGCUUGACAUGAACCGGAAAUACCUGGAAACAGGUGCCCCGCUUGCGGUCGGUUUACAGGUGGUGCAUGGUUGUCGUCAGCUCGUGUCGUGAGAUGUUGGGUUAAGUCCCGCAACGAGCGCAACCCUCGUUCUAUGUUGCCAGCGCGUUAUGGCGGGGACUCAUAGGAGACUGCCGGGGUCAACUCGGAGGAAGGUGGGGACGACGUCAAAUCAUCAUGCCCCUUAUGUCUUGGGCUUCACGCAUGCUACAAUGGCCGGUACAAAGGGUUGCGAUACUGUGAGGUGGAGCUAAUCCCAAAAAGCCGGUCUCAGUUCGGAUUGGGGUCUGCAACUCGACCCCAUGAAGUCGGAGUCGCUAGUAAUCGCAGAUCAGCAACGCUGCGGUGAAUACGUUCCCGGGCCUUGUACACACCGCCCGUCAAGUCACGAAAGUU
This 855-nucleotide ribosomal RNA is filed under the name Arthrobacter sp. DAB_MOR38. RNAcentral describes it as "bacterial SSU rRNA". It matches the Rfam family "Bacterial small subunit ribosomal RNA", at positions 560 to 1412 of the family's 1533-position model. The record is from RNAcentral. Lineage: Bacteria; Bacillati; Actinomycetota; Actinomycetes; Micrococcales; Micrococcaceae.